UACGGGGGGGGCAAGCGUUGUUCGGAAUUACUGGGCGUAAAGGGCUCGUAGGCGGCCAACUAAGUCAUACGUGAAAUCCCUCAGCUUAACUGGGGAACUGCGUGUGAUACUGGAUGGCUUGGAUUUGGGAGAGGGAUGCGGAAUUCCAGGUGUAGCGGUGAAAUGCGUAGAUAUCUGGAGGAACACCGAUGGCGAAGGCGGGUCUCUGGGCAGUAACUGACGCUGAGGAGCGAAAGCGUGGGGAGCGAACAGG
RNAcentral lists this ribosomal RNA (253 nucleotides) under uncultured bacterium. RNAcentral's name for it is "partial 16S ribosomal RNA". It matches the Rfam family "Bacterial small subunit ribosomal RNA", at positions 524 to 776 of the family's 1533-position model. The record is from RNAcentral.